GGACACAGUUAUCCGACUAGGAAAUCCUAGAACAGCAUGUUUCCCAGGUUAGUUCCUGCUUCUUCUGCCUCUUCAUCCUGCUCUGGGCCCAGCUAUGAGCUCCUACAAUUGGCCUGUAUUCUUUCAACCAGGAAACACAAUGCCCAGCAGGGUCCCAGCCUGUCUGAUCCUGCCCUGAUGCUUGGAAAAAAAGAACAUGACAAAACGAUGUGAUUCCCAUAAGAAGCCACCGAAUUAGAUGUGUCAUCCCAGUGAACAUGUCCAAUAUGAUGCCGAACUUCAAGUCUCAUGAUGGACAGCCAAGCACCUGCUCAGCGUACCCCACGCUCAUGUUCAUGAUAAACCCAGAGAGCUGGUAAACUUAAUUGCUCUGAACUCUGUAAGGACACUUCACAUACUCAAGGCUGUCUCAUUUCCUUGCUCCAGUGAAAUUUAUAACCUAAGAUGUACACAUUGACAGAGGCAUAGAGAA
Molecule: long non-coding RNA, 472 nt
Organism: Hippopotamus amphibius kiboko
Lineage: Eukaryota; Metazoa; Chordata; Mammalia; Artiodactyla; Hippopotamidae
Exons: 3
Source: RefSeq, a predicted model, not a curated record